RNAcentral lists this ribosomal RNA (497 nucleotides) under uncultured bacterium. RNAcentral's name for it is "partial 16S ribosomal RNA". It matches the Rfam family "Bacterial small subunit ribosomal RNA", at positions 28 to 507 of the family's 1533-position model. The record is from RNAcentral.
GAUGAACGCUGGCGGCGUGCCUAAUACAUGCAAGUCGAGCGAACAGAUGAGGAGCUUGCUCCUCUGACGUUAGCGGCGGACGGGUGAGUAACACGUGGAUAACCUACCUAUAAGACUGGGAUAACUUCGGGAAACCGGAGCUAAUACCGGAUAAUAUAUUGAACCGCAUGGUUCAUUAGUGAAAGACGGUUUUGCUGUCACUUAUAGAUGGAUCCGCGCCGCAUUAGCUAGUUGGUAAGGUAACGGCUUACCAAGGCAACGAUGCGUAGCCGACCUGAGGGGGUGAUCGGCCACACUGGAACUGAGACACGGUCCAGACUCCUACGGGAGGCAGCAGUAGGGAAUCUUCCGCAAUGGGCGAAAGCCUGACGGAGCAACGCCGCGUGAGUGAUGAAGGUCUUCGGAUCGUAAAACUCUGUUAUUAGGGAAGAACAAAUGUGUAAGUAACUAUGCACGUCUUGACGGUACCUAAUCAGAAAGCCACGGCUAACUACGUG